GUUUCUGACCCAUCAGCUUGACGGUAGGGUAUUGGCCUACCGAGGCAGCAACGGGUAACGGGGAAUUAGGGUUCGAUUCCGGAGAGGGAGCCUGAGAAACGGCUACCACAUCUAAGGAAGGCAGCAGGCGCACAAAUUACCCAAUCCUGACACAGGGAGGUAGUGACAAGAAAUAACAAUACAGGGCUAAUGUCUUGUAAUUGGAAUGAUGGCGACGUAAAAGCUCGCCAGAGUACCAAUUGGAGGGCAAGUCUGGUGCCAGCAGCCGCGGUAAUUCCAGCUCCAAUAGCGUAUAUUAAACUUGUUGCAGUUAAAAAGCUCGUAGUUGAACUUCAGCCGUUGCGCCGUCCGACUUUGGUUGGUGUUGCGCUGUGGCUUAUCCUUUUACUUUGAGAAAAUUAGAGUGUUUCAAGCAGACUUUUGUCUUGA
RNAcentral lists this ribosomal RNA (429 nucleotides) under Babesia major. RNAcentral describes it as "SSU rRNA". It matches the Rfam family "Eukaryotic small subunit ribosomal RNA", at positions 303 to 798 of the family's 1831-position model. The record is from RNAcentral. Lineage: Eukaryota; Apicomplexa; Aconoidasida; Piroplasmida; Babesiidae.